This 1436-nucleotide ribosomal RNA is filed under the name uncultured organism. RNAcentral describes it as "SSU rRNA". It matches the Rfam family "Bacterial small subunit ribosomal RNA". The record is from RNAcentral.
CAGGCUUAACACAUGCAAGUCGAGGGGCAGCAUUUUAUUUUGCUUGCAAACUGAAGAUGGCGACCGGCGCACGGGUGAGUAACACGUAUCCAACCUGCCGAUAACUCCGGAAUAGCCUUUCGAAAGAAAGAUUAAUACCGGAUAGUAUACGAAUAUCGCAUGAUAUUUUUAUUAAAGAAUUUCGGUUAUCGAUGGGGAUGCGUUCCAUUAGUUUGUUGGCGGGGUAACGGCCCACCAAGACUACGAUGGAUAGGGGUUCUGAGAGGAAGGUCCCCCACAUUGGAACUGAGACACGGUCCAAACUCCUACGGGAGGCAGCAGUGAGGAAUAUUGGUCAAUGGGCGAGAGCCUGAACCAGCCAAGUAGCGUGAAGGAUGAAGGCUCUAUGGGUCGUAAACUUCUUUUAUAUGGGAAUAAAGUUUUCCACGUGUGGAAUUUUGUAUGUACCAUAUGAAUAAGGAUCGGCUAACUCCGUGCCAGCAGCCGCGGUAAUACGGAGGAUCCGAGCGUUAUCCGGAUUUAUUGGGUUUAAAGGGAGCGUAGGUGGAUUGUUAAGUCAGUUGUGAAAGUUUGCGGCUCAACCGUAAAAUUGCAGUUGAAACUGGCAGUCUUGAGUACAGUAGAGGUGGGCGGAAUUCGUGGUGUAGCGGUGAAAUGCUUAGAUAUCACGAAGAACUCCGAUUGCGAAGGCAGCUCACUAGACUGUCACUGACACUGAUGCUCGAAAGUGUGGGUAUCAAACAGGAUUAGAUACCCUGGUAGUCCACACAGUAAACGAUGAAUACUCGCUGUUUGCGAUAUACAGUAAGCGGCCAAGCGAAAGCAUUAAGUAUUCCACCUGGGGAGUACGCCGGCAACGGUGAAACUCAAAGGAAUUGACGGGGGCCCGCACAAGCGGAGGAACAUGUGGUUUAAUUCGAUGAUACGCGAGGAACCUUACCCGGGCUUAAAUUGCAACAGAAUAUAUUGGAAACAGUAUAGCCGUAAGGCUGUUGUGAAGGUGCUGCAUGGUUGUCGUCAGCUCGUGCCGUGAGGUGUCGGCUUAAGUGCCAUAACGAGCGCAACCCUUAUCUUUAGUUACUAACAGGUCAUGCUGAGGACUCUAGAGAGACUGCCGUCGUAAGAUGUGAGGAAGGUGGGGAUGACGUCAAAUCAGCACGGCCCUUACGUCCGGGGCUACACACGUGUUACAAUGGGGGGUACAGAAGGCGGCUACCUGGUGACAGGAUGCUAAUCCCAAAAACCUCUCUCAGUUCGGAUCGAAGUCUGCAACCCGACUUCGUGAAGCUGGAUUCGCUAGUAAUCGCGCAUCAGCCAUGGCGCGGUGAAUACGUUCCCGGGCCUUGUACACACCGCCCGUCAAGCCAUGAAAGCCGGGGGUACCUGAAGUACGUAACCGCAAGGAGCGUCCUAGGGUAAAACUGGUAAUUGGGGCU